This 409-nucleotide long non-coding RNA is filed under the name Medicago truncatula (barrel medic). RNAcentral describes it as "long non-coding RNA (MTRU_LNC003571)". Lineage: Eukaryota; Viridiplantae; Streptophyta; Magnoliopsida; Fabales; Fabaceae. The record is from RNAcentral.
CUCAUAAAAUAAGUCACACAAAUAAUAAUAAGUUAUGAUUUUAAUUUCUAUAUAGUUAUUAAGUGUAUAUGAUUAAAGUCAAAUGUUUAUAAUAAUUCGACGGUUAUGAUUGAUUGACAACGUAAAAAAAACUUACGGGAACAUGAGAGUCUCUAGCGCUACGUUUAGCAUCGGUGGCUGAGAAGACGGUGUAAACAAGAAUGAAAGUGCCAACAAUUUCAGCACCAAGACCAUCACCUUUGGUGUAACCAGGAGCAACAAAGUUGGCACCACCUUUCAGAUCUCCAAAUCUUGUCUUUCCUUCAAAACCUUUCACAACACCAGCACCACAAAUAGCACCCAAACAUUGCAUCACCAUGUAGAACAAUGCUCUUGUCAAUGACAAUUUCCUUGCCAAAAAUAGCCCAAA